Molecule: ribosomal RNA, 351 nt
Filed under: Lactobacillus helveticus
Lineage: Bacteria; Bacillati; Bacillota; Bacilli; Lactobacillales; Lactobacillaceae
Description: bacterial SSU rRNA
Rfam family: Bacterial small subunit ribosomal RNA
Source: RNAcentral
CUGUCGCUAUGGGAUGGCCCCGCGGUGCAUUAGCUAGUUGGUAAGGUAACGGCUUACCAAGGCAAUGAUGCAUAGCCGAGUUGAGAGACUGAACGGCCACAUUGGGACUGAGACACGGCCCAAACUCCUACGGGAGGCAGCAGUAGGGAAUCUUCCACAAUGGACGCAAGUCUGAUGGAGCAACGCCGCGUGAGUGAAGAAGGUUUUCGGAUCGUAAAGCUCUGUUGUUGGUGAAGAAGGAUAGAGGUAGUAACUGGCCUUUAUUUGACGGUAAUCAACCAGAAAGUCACGGCUAACUACGUGCCAGCAGCCGCGGUAAUACGUAGGUGGCAAGCGUGUCCGGAUUUAUUG